RNAcentral lists this unclassified non-coding RNA (218 nucleotides) under uncultured Nocardiaceae bacterium. Its description in RNAcentral is "contains 16S-23S intergenic spacer region". Lineage: Bacteria; Bacillati; Actinomycetota; Actinomycetes; Mycobacteriales; Nocardiaceae. The record is from RNAcentral.
UCCGAGUUGACCCCGGCAGUCUCCUGCGUGUCCCCGCCAUUACGCGCUGGCAACACAGGACAAGGGUUGCGCUCGUUGCGGGACUUGACCCAACAUCUCACGACACGAGCUGACGACAGCCAUGCACCACCUGUAUACCGACCACAAGGGGGGCCGUAUCUCUACGGCUUUCCGGUAUAUGUCAAACCGGAGGAAGGUGGGGAUGACGUUCGUCUGAC